This 547-nucleotide ribosomal RNA is filed under the name uncultured bacterium. Its description in RNAcentral is "bacterial SSU rRNA". It matches the Rfam family "Bacterial small subunit ribosomal RNA", at positions 772 to 1319 of the family's 1533-position model. The record is from RNAcentral.
ACUGAAUAGAUACCCGGGUAGUCCACGCUGUAAACGAUGGAUACUUGUUGUUAGAGGUAUUGACCCCUCUAGUGACGUAGCUAAACGCGAUAAGUAUCCCGCCUGGGGAGUACGGUCGCAAGAUUAAAGCUCAAAGAAAUUGACGGGGGCCCGCACAAGCGGUGGAGCAUGUGGUUUAAUUCGAUGCAACGCGAAGAACCUUACCUAGGCUUGACAUGAACUGGAAGGGUGGCAGAAACGCCCCCGCCCGCAAGGGUCGGUUCACAGGUGCUGCAUGGCUGUCGUCAGCUCGUGUCGUGAGAUGUUGGGUUAAGUCCCGCAACGAGCGCAACCCUUACCUUUAGUUGCCAGCAUUUAGUUGGGUACUCUAAAGGGACUGCCUGCGUUAAGCAGGAGGAAGGUGGGGAUGACGUCAAGUCCUCAUGGCCCUUAUGUCUAGGGCUACACACGUGCUACAAUGGUGGUCACAGAGGGAAGCCAAACCGCAAGGUGGAGCAAACCCCUUAAAAGCCAUCUAAGUUCAGAUUGGUCUCUGCAACUCGAGACC